Molecule: ribosomal RNA, 478 nt
Filed under: uncultured bacterium
Lineage: Bacteria
Description: partial 16S ribosomal RNA
Rfam family: Bacterial small subunit ribosomal RNA
Source: RNAcentral
GAUGAACGCUGGCGGCGUGCUUAACACAUGCGAGUCGAACGGGAAACCUUUUAUUGAAGCUUCGGCAGAUUUAGCUGGUUUCUAGUGGCGGACGGGUGAGUAACGCGUGGGUAACCUGCCUUAUACAGGGGGAUAACAAUCAGAAAUGGCUGCUAAUACCGCAUAAGCGCACAGAGCUGCAUGGCUCAGUGUGAAAAACUCCGGUGGUAUAAGAUGGACCCGCGUUGGAUUAGCUGGUUGGUGGGGUAACGGCCCACCAAGGCGACGAUCCAUAGCCGGCCUGAGAGGGUGAACGGCCACAUUGGGACUGAGACACGGCCCAGACUCCUACGGGAGGCAGCAGUGGGGAAUAUUGCACAAUGGGGGAAACCCUGAUGCAGCGACGCCGCGUGAAGGAAGAAGUAUCUCGGUAUGUAAACUUCUAUCAGCAGGGAAGAUAAUGACGGUACCUGACUAAGAAGCCCCGGCUAACUACGUG